CAGCCGCCGCGGGAAUACGUAGGUGGCAAGCGUUAUCCGGAAUUAUUGGGCGUAAAGCGCGCGUAGGCGGUUUUUUAAGUCUGAUGUGAAAGCCCACGGCUCAACCGUGGAGGGUCAUUGGAAACUGGAAAACUUGAGUGCAGAAGAGGAAAGUGGAAUUCCAUGUGUAGCGGUGAAAUGCGCAGAGAUAUGGAGGAACACCAGUGGCGAAGGCGACUUUCUGGUCUGUAACUGACGCUGAUGUGCGAAAGCGUGGGGAUCAAACAGGAUUAGAUACCCGUGUAGUCCCUGUCUCUUAUAC
Molecule: ribosomal RNA, 301 nt
Filed under: uncultured bacterium
Lineage: Bacteria
Description: partial 16S ribosomal RNA
Rfam family: Bacterial small subunit ribosomal RNA
Source: RNAcentral